UCUAGCUAGAUUUGUAUAAGUUCUAGAUUAAUCUAGCUAGAUUUGUAUAAGUUCUAGAUUAAUCUAGAUAACUAGAUUAUCAAUGUGCACUGUUUUAACAGAUUUCUUGUAGCGGAGUCUAUUCUUUGGGGAAGAGAAUUGUUAUUGUUAAUCUGGAGUUGCGGGUGGUAAUUCGAUCCAUAUUCAUAUUGAUCGAUGGGUGCCUCGACCAAUGAAUUUCAAACUAUUUAUUUCACAAUGUUUGCCUCAUGAUGCUACUGUAAGUAAGUUGUUAACUUAUACGGGGGAGUUGGGACGUGGCAAAGGUUCGUCAAAAUUUUUUACCCAUUGAUGCAGAUGUCAUGCAUGCUCUCUGUCCCGGUUUGUGGUACCAGCUAUACAAGUUUAUGAGUUGGAGUUGGGAGAGGCAAGUAGUGCAAGUUUCACUUUGUCUGAUGGUAUCUGGAAACAAAUUUGGCAUCUCCAAGUUCCAAAUAAAAUUUGACACUUCUUGUGGUGUGCUAUUCAGUAUUCAAGAUGUGACUCCAUGUGCGUUCAACUUAUACCAGCGGAGAAUUUCCCGAUCUCCUAUGUGUUUUCGCUGUGGAAAACAAAUGGAAUCUCUGGUUCAUGCAAUCUGGGAAUGUAAACACUAAAUCAGUAAAGCAGUAUGGUCUAUUUCUUUCAUGAAUCAUCUACAAGGAUUGCAUUAGUUUUCUUUCGCUGAUCUUUUUUCUCAAGCAAUGCAAACGCUGCCAGUGGAUGAUUUGGAGCGGUUUAGCUAUAUUUGUCGGUAUUUAUAGGGUGUGAGGAAUGAUAUGCUGCAGGAAAGAAAGGUCGGCGAAUCUGUUUCACUGUUGGAGCGUUGUUUGGAAUUGCCUCAGGAGUUCAAGGUGGCAAACAUGACAAGAGCUAGGCAUCAAAGGACACAGGGGAGUCCACCUGAAGUGGGGUUUUAGAAGUUGAAUGUAGAUGGGGGAGUAAGAGAAAAUGAGGAUAGAAGGGGUAUGUAUCCGCUUUGUGGUACGUAAUAAUUAGUUGGGAAAAUUAAUGGGUGCUGGUGCUAAAUUAACAUUUGGCCUUUUCUUACCUUUGGUUACGGAGUUGAUUGCAAUGAAGGAAGGAUUGAAGUUUGCAAUUGAUGCACAGAUUCUGCCAGUACGUAAUAUUUGAAAGUGAUUGGUUGGAGGCAAUUAAUCUAAUCUGAUAAAUGAUAAUAAUGAAUGUUCGGAAUUGGUUGGUGGUUUUUUUGAGGAGGUGAAAACGUUGGUUUGUGUAGUGGGAGGGAUUAAAGUUUUAUUCCAACAUGGGGCAAGCAAUAAUGUGGCACAUAAUUUAGCUCAAUCAGGUCCUAAAUGGUAAGGAUUGUUUUCAUUGUUUGGAAGAAGGCCCUCCAUGGCUUAUGGAUUUACUUAUGUAUGAUUCUCAUUUAAUUUGUUGUA
Rosa rugosa (rugosa rose) is the source of this 1421-nucleotide long non-coding RNA. RefSeq lists it as uncharacterized. The record is from RefSeq and is a predicted model, not a curated record. The transcript has 2 exons. Lineage: Eukaryota; Viridiplantae; Streptophyta; Magnoliopsida; Rosales; Rosaceae.